AUGGAGCUGGAGGCCGCCCCGCAGCUCCCGAGGAGGGACGCCAGGAAGCUGGUGAGGUGCCCGAGGCUGCAGCUGGACGCCAAGACGGUCACGGCCGUCGAGCAGUCCACGGGCACGCCCGUCGCCGACGCGGCGGCCACCAGCCAUGGAGGCGCGACGCGCGUCAAGAUCUUGCUGAGCAAGCAGCAGCUCAAGCAGGUGGCCGCGGCCGUCGCCGCCGGCGGCGCCUUCGCGCUGCCGCCCGCGCUGGAGCAGCUGGUGAGCGCCAUCAAGAGGCAGCACGCGAAGAAGCAGACGGCGGCGGCGACCAACGCGGCUGCCGCGAGGCGCCCGGGACGGUGGUCGCCGGCGUUGUACAGCAUCCCGGAGGAUAUCCACAGCUAG
This 384-nucleotide ribosomal RNA is filed under the name Triticum aestivum (bread wheat). RNAcentral describes it as "partial small subunit ribosomal RNA". Lineage: Eukaryota; Viridiplantae; Streptophyta; Magnoliopsida; Poales; Poaceae. The record is from RNAcentral.